Molecule: ribosomal RNA, 2758 nt
Filed under: Klebsiella pneumoniae
Lineage: Bacteria; Pseudomonadati; Pseudomonadota; Gammaproteobacteria; Enterobacterales; Enterobacteriaceae
Description: partial 23S ribosomal RNA
Rfam family: Bacterial large subunit ribosomal RNA
Source: RNAcentral
CACUAUCGUUAACUGAAUACAUAGGUUAACGAGGCGAACCGGGGGAACUGAAACAUCUAAGUACCCCGAGGAAAAGAAAUCAACCGAGAUUCCCCCAGUAGCGGCGAGCGAACGGGGAGCAGCCCAGAGUCUGAAUCAGCUUGUGUGUUAGUGGAACGGUCUGGAAAGUCCGACGGUACAGGGUGAUAGUCCCGUACACCAAAAUGCACAGGUUGUGAACUCGAAGAGUAGGGCGGGACACGUGGUAUCCUGUCUGAAUAUGGGGGGACCAUCCUCCAAGGCUAAAUACUCCUGACUGACCGAUAGUGAACCAGUACCGUGAGGGAAAGGCGAAAAGAACCCCGGCGAGGGGAGUGAAAAAGAACCUGAAACCGUGUACGUACAAGCAGUGGGAGCACCUUCGGGUGUGACUGCGUACCUUUUGUAUAAUGGGUCAGCGACUUAUAUUCUGUAGCAAGGUUAACCGUAUAGGGGAGCCGCAGGGAAACCGAGUCUUAACUGGGCGUUAAGUUGCAGGGUAUAGACCCGAAACCCGGUGAUCUAGCCAUGGGCAGGUUGAAGGUUGGGUAACACUAACUGGAGGACCGAACCGACUAAUGUUGAAAAAUUAGCGGAUGACUUGUGGCUGGGGGUGAAAGGCCAAUCAAACCGGGAGAUAGCUGGUUCUCCCCGAAAGCUAUUUAGGUAGCGCCUCGUGAAUUCAUCUUCGGGGGUAGAGCACUGUUUCGGCUAGGGGGUCAUCCCGACUUACCAACCCGAUGCAAACUACGAAUACCGAAGAAUGUUAUCACGGGAGACACACGGCGGGUGCUAACGUCCGUCGUGAAGAGGGAAACAACCCAGACCGCCAGCUAAGGUCCCAAAGUCAUGGUUAAGUGGGAAACGAUGUGGGAAGGCACAGACAGCCAGGAUGUUGGCUUAGAAGCAGCCAUCAUUUAAAGAAAGCGUAAUAGCUCACUGGUCGAGUCGGCCUGCGCGGAAGAUGUAACGGGGCUAAACCAUGCACCGAAGCUGCGGCAGCGACACUAUGUGUUGUUGGGUAGGGGAGCGUUCUGUAAGCCUGCGAAGGUGUGCUGUGAGGCAUGCUGGAGGUAUCAGAAGUGCGAAUGCUGACAUAAGUAACGAUAAAGCGGGUGAAAAGCCCGCUCGCCGGAAGACCAAGGGUUCCUGUCCAACGUUAAUCGGGGCAGGGUGAGUCGACCCCUAAGGCGAGGCCGAAAGGCGUAGUCGAUGGGAAACAGGUUAAUAUUCCUGUACUUGGUGUUACUGCGAAGGGGGGACGGAGAAGGCUAUGUUAGCCGGGCGACGGUUGUCCCGGUUUAAGCAUGUAGGCUGGUUGUCCAGGCAAAUCCGGAUAAUCAAGGCUGAGGUGUGAUGACGAGGCACUACGGUGCUGAAGUAACAAAUGCCCUGCUUCCAGGAAAAGCCUCUAAGCAUCAGGUAACAUUAAAUCGUACCCCAAACCGACACAGGUGGUCAGGUAGAGAAUACCAAGGCGCUUGAGAGAACUCGGGUGAAGGAACUAGGCAAAAUGGUGCCGUAACUUCGGGAGAAGGCACGCUGGUGUGUAGGUGAAGUCCCUGCGGAUGGAGCUGAGACCAGUCGAAGAUACCAGCUGGCUGCAACUGUUUAUUAAAAACACAGCACUGUGCAAACACGAAAGUGGACGUAUACGGUGUGACGCCUGCCCGGUGCCGGAAGGUUAAUUGAUGGGGUUAUCCGUAAGGAGAAGCUCUUGAUCGAAGCCCCGGUAAACGGCGGCCGUAACUAUAACGGUCCUAAGGUAGCGAAAUUCCUUGUCGGGUAAGUUCCGACCUGCACGAAUGGCGUAAUGAUGGCCAGGCUGUCUCCACCCGAGACUCAGUGAAAUUGAACUCGCUGUGAAGAUGCAGUGUACCCGCGGCAAGACGGAAAGACCCCGUGAACCUUUACUAUAGCUUGACACUGAACAUUGAGCCUUGAUGUGUAGGAUAGGUGGGAGGCUUUGAAGCGUGGACGCCAGUCUGCGUGGAGCCAACCUUGAAAUACCACCCUUUAAUGUUUGAUGUUCUAACGUUGGCCCCUUACCGGGGUUGCGGACAGUGUCUGGUGGGUAGUUUGACUGGGGCGGUCUCCUCCCAAAGCGUAACGGAGGAGCACGAAGGUUAGCUAAUCCUGGUCGGACAUCAGGAGGUUAGUGCAAUGGCAUAAGCUAGCUUGACUGCGAGCGUGACGGCGCGAGCAGGUGCGAAAGCAGGUCAUAGUGAUCCGGUGGUUCUGAAUGGAAGGGCCAUCGCUCAACGGAUAAAAGGUACUCCGGGGAUAACAGGCUGAUACCGCCCAAGAGUUCAUAUCGACGGCGGUGUUUGGCACCUCGAUGUCGGCUCAUCACAUCCUGGGGCUGAAGUAGGUCCCAAGGGUAUGGCUGUUCGCCAUUUAAAGUGGUACGCGAGCUGGGUUUAGAACGUCGUGAGACAGUUCGGUCCCUAUCUGCCGUGGGCGCUGGAGAAUUGAGGGGGGCUGCUCCUAGUACGAGAGGACCGGAGUGGACGCAUCACUGGUGUUCGGGUUGUCAUGCCAAUGGCACUGCCCGGUAGCUAAAUGCGGAAGAGAUAAGUGCUGAAAGCAUCUAAGCACGAAACUUGCCCCGAGAUGAGUUCUCCCUGAGACUUUAAGUCUCCUGAAGGAACGUUGAAGACGACGACGUUGAUAGGCCGGGUGUGUAAGCGCAGCGAUGCGUUGAGCUAACCGGUACUAAUGAACCGUGAGGCUUAACCUU